UCUAAGUAUAAGCGACUCAGCUCGUGAAACCGCGAACGGCUCAUUAUAACAGCUAUAAUUUACUUGAUCUUGACCAUCCUACUUGGAUAACUGUGGUAAUUCUAGAGCUAAUACAUGCGCAAGAGCUCGUCGCAAGACGAGUGCAUUUAUUAGAGGAAAACCAAGCGGCCUCGGCCGUGCUUUGUUGACUCAGAAUAACUAAGCUGAUCGCAGGGUCUUGUACCGGCGACGUGUCUUUCAAGUAUCUGCCUUAUCAACUUUCGAUGGUAGUGUAUCUGACUACCAUGGUGGUGACGGGUAACGGAGGAUCAGGGUUCGACUCCGGAGAAGGGGCCUGAGAAAUGGCCACUACGUCUAAGGAUGGCAGCAGGCGCGCAAAUUACCCACUCUCGGCUUGAGGAGGUAGUGACGAGAAAUAACGAGACCGUUCUCUACGAGGCCGGUCAUCGGAAUGGGUACAAUGUAAACCCUUUAACGAGUAUCUAUGAGAGGGCAAGUCUGGUGCCAG
RNAcentral lists this ribosomal RNA (508 nucleotides) under Nematoda environmental sample. RNAcentral describes it as "SSU rRNA". It matches the Rfam family "Eukaryotic small subunit ribosomal RNA", at positions 58 to 570 of the family's 1831-position model. The record is from RNAcentral. Lineage: Eukaryota; Metazoa; Nematoda.